Ostrea edulis (European flat oyster) is the source of this 3267-nucleotide long non-coding RNA. RefSeq lists it as uncharacterized. The transcript is spliced from 2 exons. The record is from RefSeq and is a predicted model, not a curated record. Lineage: Eukaryota; Metazoa; Mollusca; Bivalvia; Ostreida; Ostreidae.
GUGACUGCAUCACUAAAUGUACAUCAAAAACCUGCACAGUUAAGUAACCGCAUCACUAAAUCUACAUCAAAAACCUGCACAGUUAUGUAACCACAUCACUAAAUCUACAUCAAAAACCUGCACAGUUAUGUAACCACAUCACUAAAUCUACAUCAAAAACCUGCAGUUAUGUAACCACAUCACUAAAUCUACAUCAAAAACCUGCACAGUUAUGUGACUGCAUCACUAAAUGUACAUCAAAAACCUGCACAGUUAAGUAACCGCAUCACUAAAUCUACAUCAAAAACCUGCACAGUUAUGUAACCACAUCACUAAAUCUACAUCAAAAACCUGCACAGUUAUGUAACCACAUCACUAAAUCUACAUCAAAAACCUGCAGUUAUGUAACCACAUCACUAAAUGUACAUCAAAAACCUGCACAGUUAUGUAACCACAUCACUAAAUGUACAUCAAAAACCUGCAGUUAUGUAACCGCAUCACUAAAUCUAUAUCAGAAACCUGCACAGCUAUGUAACUGCAUCACUAAAUGUACAUCAAAAACCUGCACAGUUAUGUAACCACAUCACUAAAUCUACAUCAAAAACCUGCAGUUAUGUAACCACAUCACUAAAUCUACAUAAAAAACCUGCACAGUUAUGUGACUGCAUCACUAAAUGUACAUCAAAAACCUGCAGCUAUGUAACCACAUCACUAAAUGUACAUCAGAAACCUGCAUAGUUAUGUAACCACAUCACUAAAUGUACAUCAAAAACCUGCAGUUAUGUAAAUCGGCGAACUAAAGUAUUCUCGAUCUGUAAAUGAUAACACCUUUAUAUGCUUUUUAAAUAUAUUUCCACAGUUAUGUACAUAUUUUACUUGUUGUGUAUAUUACAAUUAGCACUAAAUUGACCUAGAUUGUUAUUUUUAGUAGAUAUAUGAUAUAUGAUGUAAUAGUUGCAUCAUUGUCUUUCAAGAUUGUAAUACAAAAUUCAUUCCUAUUAUAAAUACACUCACAGUCUUGUGAUUGAAAAAAGCUCUGGUUAGACACAUUUUAUGCAUUUGGAUUUUUUAUACGGGGAACUACGAUUUUGGAAUUACGUGUGUGUGUGUGUGUGUGUGUGUGUGUGUGUGUGUGUAUUAUGUUCGGAUUUAUUGUUCAACUACCGUAAAUUAGUAUUUUGCUAUUGCUAUAAUUUUCUAUCAAUUAUGAAUUAUAGAUAAAUACUAUCAAUUGUUUAAUUGCCUUUUGUUAGUAAAUUCUGUGCGCUAUAUUCAGGGUUUUUUCUUACACUCCUCUUGAGAGGUACAUAGUGAGAUGAUGAACUUUUGUUAGUAAAUUCUGUGCGCUGUAUUAAGAGUUUGUUCUGACACUCAUCUUGAGAGGUACGUUGUGAGAUUGAGAACUUUUAUAUUGGGCGCUACUUCAAGAAUUAGAUUUUUCUAUCUAUGUGUUUGUAUAUACGGAACUCCUUUCGAUUGUCGUCUUAUUUAACCACGGGGGUCCCUAAGCAUAAAGAUCAUAAAGAUGUUCUUGCUAUUAGUGUCGUGGUCUGGUUGUGUUUGUUUAGACGACUUGACAACACUGACAGCGUCUUCGUCUACAGAUGACGCAACACUGGACCUCGCUUUAAUUUACAACGCGGCAGUGGCGAUUGUUGACGAAGAACUGGUGAAACGGCAUCAGCUAUAGAAUGAACACAGGGGGAAUUCUCAUCUCAAAGCCACUACAACCUUAUAUGAGAUGGCAAAUGAAGUGUCGUCCCAGUUUAUUUUUAAUCCUAAAAUUGAUAAUCAAAAUAAAUUUAAUAAGAAAAACCAUCCAGGAAUUCUGGACAGAGGAGAAGACCAAAGUCAAAGCAGUAGUUCCUAGACAGGAAACUAAUGACAAACAAUGUUCAUCUCCGGGAAAUCCGGAUCACAAAUUGGGCAGUAUACCUACGUCUGCCGCCAAAAAGCAAAAAAUAACGAAUGCUGAAACAGGGGAGUGUAAGGAAUAUUUUGACCGGAUUUUACUGGACUUUAAAUUUAAGAUCUCGCUUUACUCUCAAGAAUACACAAACUUGAUAUCGAAAUCUUUAGUAAUAACUGAUGCUCAAAUAAAUGCACCAACAGAAAAAACUCUAUAUAUUGACUAUUUUAACACAUAUUGCGCAUACUUUGAGAGCAGUUAUUAAGGACAGUUCAGUUUUGCGACCACACACCGUUUGCUGUUGAUCAAUACGGGACUUUCGAGAUACGGAUCCACUAUGACUUUUAUCGCGCGUUGAACGUAAUUGUAGGGCAUGUCACUUCCGGAUUACAAUAACAACUAAGUAAACAAACAUGGAAUAUUUCAAUUGCUUUCAAUUUCCUGCAUUUAAAUGCUAUCUUUGAAAGAAAGGAAUCACUACAACCAUUUUAUAGGAAAAUAUAAUUGAUUAAAUUAUGCGAGUCGGCGCGGGAAAUAAAUCUAGGGAAUAUCUUUAGGAUAUCGGUAAAACUUCACGCCUUGCCUCCAGUGGUACGCGUCUUAAUGCGCCUUUUCCCUUUCAUCUAAUUUACACCCAGGUACUAAGCACCAAUAAUGACUUGGAUCGUCAUCGUGGGACUGCAUAUAGCUCUUUAUGAACCGUCUGUUAGCGAAACACCAUAUGUAUCGAUCGAUGUCAACUUUGCCCUACAAUUAGUUAUUAUCACGUGACCGUGGUGUAUAAACGUCAAAUAUAAUCGGUCGUUCCGGCAUAUCCCGAAAGUUCCGUAUUGUGACUAACACAAAUAUAUGCAAUUCAAGGAAUCAAUCAACGGCGAAGCAGCCUGCAUAAAAUUUGAUAUAGGUCCAAUCCCCGUCCACUGCAGGCCUGGGCUACUUACACAGAUUAAUUCUUUGAAUUCAAACUAAUCAUUGGAUGGAUAUGAUCUCUAAGUGUUCUACCUCUGUAUGCGAUAUUCGCUUACACCAAAUCACCAACGAAAUUAAUCAAUAAAUUUCCAGGAAAAGCAGAUAUUACCUAUCACGGUAGCUAUCACGACGAUAGAUUUAUUAUUUUUCUUGGAAAUUUAGUGAAACCAAUGCUCAUCACCCAUGACUGAAAUGCAUAAACAUAAUUUCCAGGCAAAAUAGGCUUUUCUUGGAUACGACGAAAUACAAAGGAAAAAGAUUCAACGUAAUAAAUUAUGGAUUUUUAAACACACAUGAAACCCAUUCCAAUAUUUUAAUUGUAGGAUCCGUCUGAUUUUAAAGGAUUCAUUUGGGACAAAAUCAUUACUCAUUAAAAGAAACGCUGGUGACACUACUGCACUAAAACAAAA